Non-coding RNA from Paramuricea clavata, 283 nucleotides. The record is from the annotation of a GenBank genome assembly. NCBI's taxonomy places the organism in Eukaryota, Metazoa, Cnidaria, Anthozoa, Malacalcyonacea, Plexauridae.
CCCCAACUACCCCCCAACGCUUAUAGAUUUCCCUUCAAAAUAUUUACUUAAUAAAAGAGUUAUAUACUAUGCAACCGUUAUAGUAGAAAGAUCUUUUCGCACUUUCAGUCUUCACCUUAGGAAGGUGGAGCUGAUUACUUUGUCUGGUCGAUCUUUCAUGAAUAUCUCGAUUAAAAGUAAAAUAAUUAGUUAAAAACUGAGGUACUGUCCCGGUCAAAGAUUUUUUGUCCCCUUCUCUUAUACAAGGGAGUCCAUCUUAAACUAGUCAUCACAUCAUUACUGG